UACGUAGGGGCCAAGCGUUGUCCGGAUUUAUUGGGCGUAAAGAGCUCGUAGGCGGUUUGGACAGUCGGGUGUGAAAUCCCGGGGCUUAACCCCGGAACUGCAUUCGAUACUGCCUUGCUCGAGUACUGGAGAGGAGACUGGAAUUUACGGUGUAGCAGUGAAAUGCGUAGAGAUGGGUAGGAACACCGGUGGCGAAGGCGGUCUUCUGGGACGUCCUUGACGCUGAGGCGCGAAAGCUGGGGGAGCGAACGGG
RNAcentral lists this ribosomal RNA (253 nucleotides) under uncultured bacterium. Its description in RNAcentral is "partial 16S ribosomal RNA". It matches the Rfam family "Bacterial small subunit ribosomal RNA", at positions 524 to 776 of the family's 1533-position model. The record is from RNAcentral.